Molecule: long non-coding RNA, 457 nt
Organism: Hirundo rustica (Barn swallow)
Lineage: Eukaryota; Metazoa; Chordata; Aves; Passeriformes; Hirundinidae
Exons: 3
Source: RefSeq, a predicted model, not a curated record
UCUUUCUGAUGGCCAAGCACACCAGGACUUCCUGAGGGCUGCUGGCUGGCAAAAGGUGGCUGUUGGGUGUUUGACAUGGCCUGUGAUGAUCAACUCACUUUACAUCUUCCAGAGUACGAGGAUGGCCAGGGCACUCCUACUCUGGAGCAGGGAAGAUGAGGUAACUGCAGCAAGGUGCUGAAGUGGAGCGAUUUUUGGGAAACUGGAGAUGGAAUCUCAAGGGGCAUAAUGAGCCAUCUGAUCCUGCUCAGAAACGGUGAAUGCUGGGUUUAAAACCUGCAUCUUCAUCUGACAGCUGUAAAGACUUUAAAAUAUUUGUAUUGCAAUGCUUUUAGGAGCAAUUUUUACCCUUUAUGACAUCAAAAUUUUCAUGGCCAAGGGGCAAAAAUGAUAGAUUCACAGACUGUGGUUUAGGAAAGUGGUUCAGCACCUUGGGAGUUGAGCGGUGAAUAAACAU